GAUGAACGCUGGCGGCGUGCCUAAUACAUGCAAGUCGAGCGAACAGACGAGGAGCUUGCUCCUCUGACGUUAGCGGCGGGCGGGUGAGUAACACGUGGAUAACCUACCUAUAAGACUGGGAUAACUUCGGGAAACCGGAGCUAAUACCGGAUAAUAUAUUGAACCGCAUAGUUCAAUAGUGAAAGACGGUUUUGCUGGCACUUGUAGAUGGAUCCGCGCCGCAUUAACUAGUUGGUAAGGUAACGGCUUACCAAGGCAACGAUGCGUAGCCGACCUGAGAGGGUGAUCGGCCACACUGGAACUGAGACACGGUCCAGACUCCUACGGGAGGCAGCAGUAGGGAAUCUUCCGCAAUGGGCGAAAGCCUGACGGAGCAACGCCGCGUGAGUGAUGAAGGUCUUCGGAUCGUAAAACUCUGUUAUUAGGGAAGAACAAAUGUGUAAGUAACUAUGCACGUCUUGACGGUACCUAAUCAGAAAGCCACGGCUAACUACGUG
This 497-nucleotide ribosomal RNA is filed under the name uncultured bacterium. Its description in RNAcentral is "partial 16S ribosomal RNA". It matches the Rfam family "Bacterial small subunit ribosomal RNA", at positions 28 to 507 of the family's 1533-position model. The record is from RNAcentral.